RNAcentral lists this ribosomal RNA (255 nucleotides) under Draconarius sp. ZZ252. Its description in RNAcentral is "partial 12S ribosomal RNA". Lineage: Eukaryota; Metazoa; Arthropoda; Arachnida; Araneae; Agelenidae. The record is from RNAcentral.
AUCGAUAACCCACGAUAANUUUCACUUUUACUAUAAAUUUAUAUACCGCCAUCUUAAGAAUUAAUUUAAAAAUAUUUCUCUUAAAAAUAAAUAAAAAGUUAGGUCAAGGUGUAAUUCACAUAAAAGAAUGAGAUGAAUUACUUUAAAUAAAAUUUAAGGAUUAUAAAUAUAUAUAUUUAUAUAAAUUAGAAUUUAAGAGUAAUAUUUAAAUAAUAUUACAAUAUGAAAUAAAUAAAAAAUGUGCACACAUCGCCC